GAUGAACGCUGGCGGCGUGCUUAACACAUGCAAGUCGAACGGUGAAGCAGAGCUUGCUCUGUGCAUCAGUGGCGAACGGGUGAGUAACACGUGAGCAACCAGCCUCUCACUCUGGGAUAGGCGCUUGAAACGGCGUCUAAUACAUGAUAUGAGCUGUGACCACAUGGUCAGCAGUUUGAAAGAUUUCGCUGUCUGGGAUGGUCUUACGGCCUAUCAGCUUGUUUGUGAGGGAAUGGCUCCCCAAGGCGUCGACGGGUAGCCGGCCUGAGAGGGGGACCGGGCACAAUGGGCCUGCGACACGGACCAGAAUCCUACGGGAGGCAGCAGUCGGGAGUCUUGCACAGCGGGGGCGCGCCUGAUGCAGCAGCGCCGCGUGAGGGAUGACGGCUUUCGGGUUGUAAACAUCUUUUAGAAGGGCAGAAGCCAACGUGACGGUACCUGCAGAGAAAGCGCCGGCUAACUACGUG
RNAcentral lists this ribosomal RNA (467 nucleotides) under uncultured bacterium. RNAcentral describes it as "partial 16S ribosomal RNA". It matches the Rfam family "Bacterial small subunit ribosomal RNA", at positions 28 to 507 of the family's 1533-position model. The record is from RNAcentral.